AACGAACGCUGGCGGCAGGCCUAACACAUGCAAGUCGAGCGAGGACUUCGGUCCUAGCGGCGGACGGGUGAGUAACGCGUGGGAACGUGCCCUUUGCUUCGGAAUAGCCCUGGGAAACUGGGAGUAAUACCGGAUGAGCCCUUUGGGGGAAAGAUUUAUCGGCGAAGGAUCGGCCCGCGUUGGAUUAGGUAGUUGGUGGGGUAAUGGCCUACCAAGCCGACGAUCCAUAGCUGGUUUGAGAGGAUGAUCAGCCACACUGGGACUGGGACACGGCCCAGACUCCUACGGGAGGCAGCAGUGGGGAAUCUUAGACAAUGGGGGAAACCCUGAUCGAGCCAUGCCGCGUGAGCGAUGAAGGCCUUAGGGUUGUAAAGCUCUUUCAGCUGGGAAGAUAAUGACGGUACCAGCAGAAGAAGCCCCGGCUAACUCCGUG
RNAcentral lists this ribosomal RNA (433 nucleotides) under uncultured bacterium. RNAcentral's name for it is "partial 16S ribosomal RNA". It matches the Rfam family "Bacterial small subunit ribosomal RNA", at positions 29 to 507 of the family's 1533-position model. The record is from RNAcentral.